AUAGUACAGCCAGGGAAGCUGCCCAAGGAACAGAAGCUGAAGCUGUAGAAUGAUCAUGGGCGAGAGGUUUUAUUUAGAAUCUGCUCAUGUUUGCCUAAUAAAUGUAGCAGCCACAGCAAAUGAAAUUCUUAAAAUCUUAGUAUUAACAGGUAUUGAUUCAUUUACCAUUAUUGAUGAAAAUCAGGUCAGCACAGAAGGUGGUGGAUACAUUACUUUUUCCUUCAAACGAGCAGUAUCACAAGAACUGAGCUUGAGUUACCAUGGAAUUCUUAUAAUUAAAGAUGCCUCUACAACCUUUGUGGAAAAGUCCAGAAAACCUUCCAAACAGUGAUCUUUUGUUUUCCUGUAUUUUCACCACUGUGGUUGCGAUUUGGCUUCCUGAAAGUACAUUACGAUGCUUCCUGAUGUCCUCAGGAAUUCUCAAAUCCCUCUUUUAAACUUUAAGACAUAUAGACCAGUUGGCCAUAGAAGGAUCAUUUUAAAAGAAUACACAAUAAUAGAAUUUUACCCAGAUAGUGUAUUCAAGAUCUGUGACUGGAUAAAUUGUUUUCUGAGCUGAGAGAAUAUUUCAGUCUUAUAUUUUAGAUCAUAUGUUAAAAAAACCAUAGCCAUACCCCAAAGAUUGUGAUCACAGCUAAAUAUUUAGUACAGUAGAGUAGUAAAACAAAUGGGUGAAUAUCUAAAAUGUAUGAAGAAAAAGAGCACUUCAGAGAUUUGAUUAUACAAAAGAUUCUAAAUAGUACAAAUAGGACUUCAGAAGAUGAAAAGAAUUCUGAAGAAACUAUUAAAAAUAUGAACAUGGCAAUAAAUACUACUUAGAUACCAAACAAUAUUUAAGAUAUAUUUAAUAAUAAUUUCUGAAUAAAUAUCAGCAAACAGACUUCAUCCUUUGGGGUUUUGGCUUAUGCCUUAAAGGAAUUUGUGGCCAAGGAAGGUCAAGGAAAUUUACCUAUUCAAGAACAAUUUCUGACACAAUUGCCAACUGGAAAAAAUAUAUAAAUACACAAAAUAUUUACUGUGUGAAAGCAAAUUAAUAUGUUUCCCCUGUGAAUAAAUCAUGCCAACAAAAUGCUGCAGUCCAUAGACCAGGUGACCAAUGACAUUGCAAAGAAAGAAUUAAAAUUACUCUGUAGCAAUUCUUCAUUUCUUAGAGUCUGAAGAUGUGAAUCCUUUACUGAAGAAUAUGGUUUGGAUACAAUUAACGGGAAUAAAAUCUUUUCCAGCAUGGGCACGGCAGAUAAUGAAAUAGUAUUGUACUUAAUAUUAUGGACUAGUGAUAGAUUUUAUAUGCAACAAUAUAGAUGUCCAUGGAUAUCUAACUAUCAAGUUGAAGAAAAUUUAGGAAAGUGAAAGUCUUGUUUUACUGGUUUCCUUCAGGAAUAUAGAUUCUCUAGUCACAGAUUUUGUAAAAAUGGAGCUGUUGAGAAACACACUAUUGAUUCCUGAGAGGAGGUGCUACUCAAAAGAUUAUCGAAAUACUCACUAAACAAUUAGUAAUUGUUAAUAACAUAUUUAUCUUGGCAUGUCACAAACUCCAGCAACUUCUCAGUUG
This 1552-nucleotide long non-coding RNA is filed under the name Homo sapiens (human). RNAcentral's name for it is "non-protein coding lnc-ANO3-4:1". Lineage: Eukaryota; Metazoa; Chordata; Mammalia; Primates; Hominidae. The record is from RNAcentral.